RNAcentral lists this ribosomal RNA (269 nucleotides) under uncultured prokaryote. Its description in RNAcentral is "partial 16S ribosomal RNA". It matches the Rfam family "Bacterial small subunit ribosomal RNA", at positions 524 to 792 of the family's 1533-position model. The record is from RNAcentral.
UACGUAGGGGGCAAGCGUUAUCAGGAUUUACUGGGUGUAAAGGGAGCGCAGACGGAACUGCAAGUCUGAUGUGAAAGCCCGGGGCUCAACCGCGGGACUGCAUCGGAUACUGUAGAUCUGGAGUGCCGGAGGGGCAAGCGGAAUUCCUGGUGUAGCGGUGAAAUGCGUAGAUAUCAGGAGGAACACCGGCGGCGAAGGCGGCUUGCUGGACGGAAACUGACGUUGAGGCUCGAAAGCGUGGGGAGCAAACAGGAUUAGAUACCCCUGUA